GGAACUCCCAUCGGGCCCGUAACAACCGCCGCGACGUCCCGAUAAGCACUCAUUACCCUGAAUGCCGAUCGAAACCCCGCAAGGCUUAGCAUCAACUUCCGCAUCUCCCCGGUGAGCGACAGUUAUUAAAUCUCGCAUUUCAAGAAAUCAUAAGUUGUUUCCAACUCAAAACAAUAAAAAUAUUAUUUUCUAGCUCACUGGGGUAUUUUCGUCAUUUUUUUUUUGAAAUUU
This 231-nucleotide long non-coding RNA is filed under the name Theobroma cacao (cacao). RNAcentral describes it as "long non-coding RNA (TCAC_LNC006201)". The record is from RNAcentral. Lineage: Eukaryota; Viridiplantae; Streptophyta; Magnoliopsida; Malvales; Malvaceae.